This 292-nucleotide ribosomal RNA is filed under the name uncultured bacterium. RNAcentral's name for it is "partial 16S ribosomal RNA". It matches the Rfam family "Bacterial small subunit ribosomal RNA", at positions 505 to 796 of the family's 1533-position model. The record is from RNAcentral.
GUGCCAGCAGCCGCGGUAAUACAGAGGUCUCAAGCGUUGUUCGGAAUCACUGGGCGUAAAGGGUGCGUAGGCGGCGGGGAAAGUCAGAUGUGAAAUCCGGAGGCUCAACCUCCGAAUGGCAUCCGAUACUACCUCGCUAGAGAUUUGUAGAGGAGCUUGGAAUUCUCGGUGUAGCAGUGAAAUGCGUAGAUAUCGAGAAGAACGCUCGCAGCGAAGGCGAAGCUCUGGGCAAAUUCUGACGCUGAUGCACGAAGGCUAGGGGAGCAAACGGGAUUAGAUACCCCGGUAGUCC